Malus domestica (apple) is the source of this 3658-nucleotide non-coding RNA. The record is from RefSeq and is a predicted model, not a curated record. Lineage: Eukaryota; Viridiplantae; Streptophyta; Magnoliopsida; Rosales; Rosaceae.
UCUGAUUUCUCUUUCUUCUUUUAUAGACACUUGGGUUUGGCCUCAUGUAGCAGUAAUCUUGCCCGAAUGCAGCUUGAAGGGUAAUGACUCAUCAGCUAUUUACUUGUACUGCCACUGUAAAGUGCUUUUGAGCUGAUUAGCUGGCUGGUCUAUACCAUUUGGUCUCUAGGCAGGUGAGCAAGUGGUGCAAAUGAUCUGCACCUAGUCGGGAAAUGCCUUUUAUGCCUUCUGGGCUUUGGCUGGGCUUCGGACUUUUCCCAUUUUCAGACCUACUUUGGGCCAACUCCUUCUUGAGCCCAAAGUUCAAAUUAUAACCCAAACAGUGCCCCCUUCAAUCAAUUUUCAGACUGGAAUUCCAGGCGCCAAUAUUGAUUGAAAAGCUUCCCAUUAAUACCCACGUCUCUCUCUCCCGGGAUUCGCACAUUUUUCAAAGAUAAUCAUCAUUUUCCUGCGGUCAUUCCAUUAACUCACGAACCUUUUGCAUUCUUAGCACGAAAUUCCUCUGUAAUUGAAAAUUUCCUAACUUCCCAGUCAUUUUACUUUUCUAAAUCUUUUAACUCUCUUAUGUUCUCUGCCCGACCUCUUCUACCCUUGUUGUCUUCCUUGCCGUUCCUCUUCCAAACUUUAUCAAAUGGCUUCAGGAUCCAGCCAAAUCCAUCUAUCCUAUGAAUCUGGCGAAGGCACCGCCACUUUGCUCCGUUUACUCAACGGACUGCAUCGUCCUAAAGCAGGUUUAUAUUCUGAGCUUUUCUUUGAAGUGCAUGGGGUACAAUCGUUGGGUCCCGCAUGGAUUUCCCGGGUCCCUGCAAUGAUAUAGGACAAUAUGCCCAGGGACAAUUAGUUUUCCCCAAAUCCCUUUUUGGCUAAGUCGAGCAUUUCUUCAUCCAAGUGUUGUCAUAUCGUCGAGGCUUUCCUUUGAUGAACGAUCCAGCUUGGGCUCAGUGGGUUGAUGAACUAGAGCUAAUUUUUAAGAAGAAAUGGAUGAAUAACGGCAUUUAUGAAUUGAUAAUGCUCUCAAAAACUACCAUUAUUCCCCAGCCCGAACUACUUGCUUAUUCUCUUCUUUUCUAGAAUUCGGGCACAAACACUUUUGACUUCCGUAUGGGUCCCAUGUCUCCGACUGUUCUUAAUAUGGCCCAAGUCUUUGGGCUAAGGCCAUCAGGCAGGAUAGUGGAUGUUACUCAAGACUGGGCUCCCCCCUCAAUUGUUGAAAGCUUAGGUUCAUCCGCCUCUUUCCUUUCCUUGGAAUAUAAUGCUGCAACCUUCAAGAGUUACGGGACUUCCUUCAAGGGAUUCAUCCCUUUCGUAAAGGAGAAUUUUGGAGCAGAUUCUUCUCAUGUUGAUAAAGAUCAAGAGCACAUGUAUUUCCUCUUAUACUGGCUCAACAAACAUGUAUUCCCCAAUAAGUCUAAAGGAGUAAAGGUUGAAUGGAUCCCCUUGGUGGAAGCUCUUCAUAACUUUGAUGAUGUAGCUACAGGCUUUCUCAUCUUUCACUUAAAUCAUACCCCAGUUCGGACGAACUUGAAAAUUGGAAGGAGAUGAUCUAGGAAAAGAAUCGGUUACUUCUGAUAGGUAUUUCCUCUUCAUAUCUUGAUUCUAUAUCCCUUUUAAAGCCCUUUAAAUUUUACCUUGCUUGAUCCUGCAGCCCAAAUGGAUGUUGAAUCGGUACCCAUGGAGUCCGAUGAUGACUUAGCUGAUACAGCAGUUCUUAAUGAAGCUGCGGCAGAGGCUGAAAGACGAGAAGCUGGAGAAGGUAGGGAUGUUUCCGAAGAUUCAGGGGCUGAAAAAGAAGCGCAUGAAGUCACCACCCAAGUGUCUAAACAAAGGAAAGCAGUUGUGAUCGAAACCUCAGAUUCUGAUCCUGCAUCCCCACCCAAGACUAAAUGACCAAUUCCUACUAGAAAGAGUAAAAGAACAAAAACCGUCCAAACUCUUAAGUCUUCAGCCUCAUCUGCUCCAGUUUCUAAGGCAGACAGAAAGAAGCAAAAAUCUUCAAGUGAGUUUUUGUUCUUCUUUAUCAGAUUGCCACCCUUCUUCUUUAUCAAAUUACCCUUGUUUUCCUUGAAAACAAGACCUCAAGCAUCUAAGAAACCAACCAUUGCUUCUAAUGAGGAACCAUUAGGAGCUAAAAUUCACAAAAAGGCUGAAGAAUUGUGAAAUAUCACCCUCAAAGAACUUGAGGUAUAGUUUAUGUUUAUGUCUGCAUAAUCUUUCCUGCUUCUACAAAACCAUGAGCAUGAUUACAUGAGUCAGGCUGCAAGAGAGGAAAAGCUCCGUUCGCCAGAGGUCUCUUCUCCACUUACUCGAGAAACAAGCCUCUCUCCUCCCCAGAUUAAUCCUUUAGAGGUCGGGGUAUCUGUCCCCUUGCCUAGUCAAGGUUCUCCUUUGAAGUCUUUGAUUUCUCCUUCUGCCCUGAAGGCAACUCUAUCUUCUCAAUUUGAUCCAUCCACAGGAGUUAUGUUGCACUUUGUGGAUAAGGACAGUAAGUUGCCUUCUCCAUUAUAUGAACCACCCCAACCGUCAGUGGCAAUAUGUGAUGAACCUAUAGUCCCUAAGAUUCCUGUGACCUCAGGGGUAGCGGUUUUGUAGGUGUUUGCUUGCCCGACGGUUACCAUUGAUGAACCUCCUUCUUCUCGGAGUCAAACUCAGGGCAUUGGCGAAAGUUUAGGCGCAGUUUUUUCCUCCCCUAUUAGUGGUAGAGAGUCUUCCCCUCAACCAGGAAUUGGUACUCUUCCUUGUGAAGCCCCAGGGCUUAUUCAGCAAGUUCUGGAAUAAGCCUCUCCUCCUCGCUUGGUUCGUAAAUCAAAGCUCCCCUGACCCCAUUCAACUUUUGGAAGUGCCGGGAUUUCCCAUCCUGGAAUUGAGAAGACCGGGAAGACAGAAACUGCCCCAUCAGUAGGUACUACUUCAUUAGAGGAAACUGGAGUGUGAAAUCCUCCUCCUGCUUCUUUAUUUUCAAAAACUGCUAAGUUGCCCGAACUUUUUGAAGAAUUCGGGCAACUUGAGAUAAGGCUUAAAUCUUUAAAGCAUUCUGCCGUAUCUUCCGGUCUUCGAGAGCAGCAACAAGCUUUCCAAGAAUGGGCUAGGAAGGACUUCUCAGCUUCAUUCAGCCUCAAGGCUCUUCAUGAUAUAGAGAAGGUUACAAUGGACGUGUUCAAAGCCGGUUAGCUAUCCAAAACUCAACAUGAUUAAUUUCUCUCCUUCUUCGAGAACCUGAGGGCUCUCCGGGAUCAACAUAAGAAAGCUGAAAGACAAGCCAAUCGUGUAAGAUGUUUCCAGGAGAAAGAAUCGAGUACUUCUGCUCAGGUUGAAAGGUUGAUGGAUGAUGGUUUGCUGACAAAAGAAAGGAUCGGAGUGGUGACUUCUGAAAUCCAGAAGCUAGAGGAACAACUAGUUGUUCUUAAAGCUGAACAAGCAACUCUUCUUGGCACCCUCAAAAACCAAAUUGAAGAAGUGAAGAAGUCAGACUCGGAAUUAGAGCAUACCAGGUCUCAACUUGCAAAUAGCCAUACUAUUUUGGCCGAACCUAGUAGGAUUUUUGCCAUCGUGCAGACAUAUCAAUCUCGAAUAAUCAUCCUGAGUAAAGAUGUAAAAUUAUUAGACUAGAAUUAUUUGUAACCCUUCUUUUAGCAGAAUGAACAUGUAUUUUGUGUUUUGC